UACGUAUGGUGCAAGCGUUAUCCGGAUUUACUGGGUGUAAAGGGAGCGCAGGCGGCACCUUAAGUCUGAUGUGAAAGCCCGGGGCUCAACCCCGGGACUGCAUUGGAAACUGGGGAGCUAGAGUGUCGGAGGGGUAAGUGGAAUUCCUAGUGUAGCGGUGAAAUGCGUAGAUAUUAGGAGGAACACCAGUGGCGAAGGCGGCUUACUGGACGACAACUGACGCUGAGGCUCGAAAGCGUGGGGAGCAAACAGG
RNAcentral lists this ribosomal RNA (253 nucleotides) under uncultured bacterium. RNAcentral's name for it is "partial 16S ribosomal RNA". It matches the Rfam family "Bacterial small subunit ribosomal RNA", at positions 524 to 776 of the family's 1533-position model. The record is from RNAcentral.